This 4069-nucleotide long non-coding RNA is filed under the name Triticum aestivum (bread wheat). Its description in RNAcentral is "long non-coding RNA (TAES_LNC011445)". The record is from RNAcentral. Lineage: Eukaryota; Viridiplantae; Streptophyta; Magnoliopsida; Poales; Poaceae.
UGGCAUGUCAACUGUUCUCUCAGCUACUGUUACCUGCUCUGCAUGAGGUUCCUCGUCUGCAAGUGCAACAUUGCUUUUCACAUCCUCAUUGAGCUCGCGGAUGUUUGCAUCAGUCCUUUCGCUGAUUGCUUCAGUUUCCUUGGGUUCAGUGUCCUUCACCUCUUCUGCCGGCAUGUCACUAGCUGAUGCAUUUUCUUCCACCUCAACAGGUUCAACAUUCUUGAUCUCUUCUAGUUCUGGCUCUUGUGCUCGUGGAAUAUCAACUGUUGCCUCAGUUGCUGUUACAUGCUCUUCAGGAGCUGCCUCGUCUGCAGGAGUAACAUUGCUUGUCACAUCCCCGGUGAGCUCGCUGAUGUUUGCAUCAGUGCUCUCGUUAAUUGCUUCAGUUUCCUUGGCUUCAAUUUCCUUCACCUCUUCCGCUGGCAGGUCACCUGCUGAUCUGUUUUCUUCCACCUCGUCAGGUUCGACAUUCUCGAGCUCUUGUAGUUCUGACACUUGUGCUUGUGGUAUAUCAACUGCUGCCUCAGCUGCUACUACAUGCUCUUCUGGAGCUGCCUCAUCUGCACGAGUAACAUUACUUUUCACAUCCUCAGUGAGUUCACUGAUGUUUGCAUCAGUGCUUUCGGUUAUUGCUUCUGUUUCUUUGGCUUCAGCGUCCUUCACCUCUUCUGCCGGCAGGUCACUUGCUGAUAUGUUUUCUUCCACUUCAACAGGUUCAGUAUUCUUGAUUUCUUCUAGUUCUGGAUCUUGUGCUUGUGGUAUGUCAACUGUUGCCUCAGUUGCUAUCACAUGCUCUUCAGGAUCUGCCUCGUCAACAUUAGUUUUGACAUCCUCAGUGAGCUCACUGAUGUUCUCAUCAGUGCUCUCAUUGAUUGCUUCAGAGUUCUUCACCUCUUCUGUCUGCAUGUCACUUGCUGACAUGUUUUCUUCCACCUCAACAGGUUCAGUAUUCUUGAUCUCUUCUAGUUCCAGCUCCUGUGCUUGUGGUAUGUUAACUGUUGCCUCAGUUGCUAUUACAUGUUCUUCAGGAGCUGCCUCGUCUGCAAGCGCAACAUUAGUUUUGACAUCCUCACUGAGCUCACUGAUGUUCGCAUCAGUGCUCUCGUUGAUUGCUUCAGUGUCCUUCACCUCUUCUGCCUGCAUGUCACUUGCUGACAUCUUUUCUUCCACUUCAACAGGUUCAGUAUUCUUUAUCUCUUCUACUUCUGGCUCUUGUACUUGUGGCAUAUCAACUGUAUCAUCAGCUACUGUUAUAUGUUCUUCAGGAGCUGCCUCAUCUGCAAGAGCAACAUUGUUUUUCACAUCUUCAGUGAGCUCAGUGUUGUUUGCAUCAGUGUUCUCAUUGAUUGCUUCAGUCUCUAUGGCUUCAGUAUCCUUCACCUCUUCUGCUGGCAGAUAAUUUGCUGAUAUGUUUUCUUCCACUUCAGCAGGCUCAGUACUCUUGGUCUCUUCUAGUUCUGGCCCUUGUGCUUCUGGUAUGUCAACUGUUGCCUCAGUUGCUAUUACAUGCUCUUCAGGAGCUGCCUCGUCUGCAGGAACAACAUUGCUUGUCACAUCCUCAGGUAGCUCACUGGUGUUUGCAACAGUUCUCUCGUUGAUUGCUUCAGUUUCCUUCACCUCUUCUGCUUGCAGGUCACUUGCUGAUCUAUUUUCUUCCACCUCAACAGGUUCAGUAUUCUCGAUCUCUUCUAGUUCCGGCUCCUGUGCUUGUGGUAUGUCAACUGUUCUCUCAGUUACUGUUACCUGCUCUGCAUGAGGUUCCUCGUCUGCAAGUGCAACAUUGCUUUUCACAUCCUCAUUGAGCUCGCUGAUGUUUGCAUCAGUCCUUUCGCUGAUUGCUUCAGUUUCCUUGGGUUCAAUUUCCUUGACCUCUUCUGCUGACAGGUCACCUGCUUCAGUAUUCUUGAUCUUUUCUAGCUCCGGCUCUUGUGCUUGUGGUAUAUCGGCUGUUGUCUCGGCUACUGUUACAUGUUCUUCAUGAGCUGCCUCAUCUAUAAGAGCAACGUUGCUUUUCAUAUCUUCAGUAAGCUCACUGAUGUUUGCAUCACUGCUCUCGUUGAUUGCAUCAGUUUCCUUGGCUUCAGUGUCCUUCACCUCUUCUGCCAGCAUGUCAUUAGCUGAUGCGUUUUCUUCCACCUCAACAGGUUCAACAUUCUCAAUCUCUUCUAGGUCUGGCUCUUGUGCUCGUGGAAUAUCAACUGUUGCCUCAGUUGCUGUUACAUGCUCUUCAGGAGCUGCCUCGUCUGCAGGAGUAACAUUGCUUGUCACAUUCCCGGUGAGCUCGCUGAUGUUUGCAUCAGUGCUCUCGUUAAUUGCUUCAGUUUCCUUGGCUUCAAUUUCCUUCACCUCUUCUGCUGGCAGGUCACCUGUUGAUCUGUUUUCUUCUACCUCGUCAGGUUCAACAUUCUCGAGCUCUUGUAGUUCUGACACUUGUGCUUGUGGUAUAUCAACUGCUGCCUCAGCUGCUGUUACAUGCUCUUCUGGAGCUGCCUCAUCUGCACGAGUAACAGUACUUUUCACAUCCUCAGUGAGUUCACUGAUGUUUGCAUCAGUGCUCUCAGUUAUUGCUUCUGUUUCUUUGGCUUCAGCGUCCUUCACCUCUUCUGCCGGCAGGUCACUUGCUGAUAUGUUUUCUUCCACUUCAACAGUUUCAGUAUUCUUGAUUUCUUCUAGUUCUGGAUCUUGUGCUUGCGGUAUGUCAACUGUUGCCUCAGUUGCUAUCACAUGUUCUUCAGGAGCUGCCUCGUCUGCAAGAGCAACAUCAGUUUUGACAUCCUCAGUGAGCUCACUGAUGUUCGCAUCAGUGCUCUCAUUGAUUGCUUCAGUAGGUUUCACCUCUUCUGCCUGCAUGUCACUUGCUGACAUGUUUUCUUCCACCUCAACAGGUUCAGUAUUCUUGAUCUCUUCUAGUUCCAGCUCCUGUGGUUGUGGUAUAUCAACUGCUGUCUCAGCUACUGUUACAUGCUCUUCAUGAGGUUCCUCGUCUGCAAGAGCAACAUUGCAUUUCACCUCCUCUGUGAGCUCACUGAUGUUUGCAUCAGCACUCUCGUUGAUUUCUUCAGUGUCCUUCACCUCUUCUGCUGGCAGGUCACUUGCUGAUAUGUUUUCUUCCACUUCAACAGGUUCAGUAUUCUUCAUCUCUUCUACUUCUGGCUCUUGUGCUUGUGGCAUAUCAAAUGUAUCAUCAGCUACUGUUACAUGUUCUUCAGGAGCGGCCACGUCUGCAAGGGCAACAUUGUUUUUCAAAUCUUCAGGGAGCUCACUGUUGUUUGAAUCAGUGCUCUCGUUGAUUGCUUCAGUCUCCACGGCUUCAGUAUCCUUCACCUCUUCUGCUGGCAGAUCAUUUGCUGAUAUGUUUUCUUCCACUUCAGCAGGUUCAGUACUCUUGGUCUCUUCUAGUUCUGGCUCUUGUGCUUCUGGUAUAUCAACUGUUGCCUCAGUUGCUAUUACAUGCUCUUCAGGAGCUGCUUCAUCUGCAGGAACAACAUUGCUUGUCACAUCCUCAGAUAGCUUGCUGGUGUUUGCAAUAGUGCUCCCGUUUAUUGCUUCAGUUUCCUUCACGUCUUCUGCUGGCAGGUCACUUGCUGAUCUAGUUUCUUCCACCUCAACAGGUUCGAUAUUCUUGACCUCUUCUAGUUCUGGCUCUUGUGCUUGUGGUAUAUCAACUGUUGUCUCCGCUACCGCUACAUGUUCGUCAUGAGUUGCCUCAUCUGUAAGAGCAACAUUGCUUUGCAGAUCUUCAGUGAACUCACUGUUGUUUGCAUCAGUGCUCUCGUUGAUUGCUUCAGUUUCCACGGCUUCAGUAUCCUUCACUUUUUCUGCUGGCAGAUCACUUGCUGAUGUGUUUCGUUCCACUUCAGCUGGUUCACUAUUCUUGAUAUCUUCUAGGUCUGGCUCUUGCGGUUGUGGUGUAGCAUGAGUUGCCUCUGUUGCUUUUGAAUAUUCAUCAGGGGCUGCCUCGUCUGCAAGAGCAACAUUGCUUUUCACAUCAUUGAUGAGCUCGCUAAUUUUUGCACCAGUACUCUCAUGAGGGAUCAUCUCAGUUUCCAUGGCUUCAGUGUCCUUGAUC